Molecule: RNase P RNA, 425 nt
Filed under: Acidobacteriota bacterium
Lineage: Bacteria; Pseudomonadati; Acidobacteriota
Description: Acidobacteria bacterium (freshwater metagenome) RNase P RNA component class A
Rfam family: Bacterial RNase P class A
About the family: Ribonuclease P (RNase P) is a ubiquitous endoribonuclease, found in archaea, bacteria and eukarya as well as chloroplasts and mitochondria. Its best characterised activity is the generation of mature 5'-ends of tRNAs by cleaving the 5'-leader elements of precursor-tRNAs.
Source: RNAcentral
GCAGUGAGCCGGGUAAUCGCUGCCAUCAGUAACCUCGCCGCAAGGGGAGAAGUGCUGGCGGGAGAGGAAAGUCCGAACUCCACAGGGCAGUGCGCCGGGUAAUUCCCGGGCGGGGCGACCCGACGGACAGUGGCACAGAAAAUAUACCGCCGCGCCAUGGCCCGAGACCGCAAGGUCGAGGGCGACGGCGGGGUAAGGGUGAAAUGGUGGGGUAAGAGCCCACCGCGCUUUUGGUAACAAGAGUGGCAGGCCAAACCCCGCACGGAGCAAGACCAAAUAGGGAAGCGAAUGAUGGCGGCCCGCCUGAAGCUUCCGGGUAGGUUGCUCGAUCCCGUCAGCAAUGCCGGGGCUAGAGGAAUGAUUACCCUCGUGGGGUCCGCAAGGGCGUCAUGGGACAGAAUUCGGCUUAUAGGCUCACUGCGGCA